AUUAAACUGCUUGGGAAACUGAUAGUCUAGAGUGAGGGAGAGGCAGAUGGAAUUGGUGGUGUAGGGGUAAAAUCCGUAGAUAUCACCAAGAAUACCCAUUGCGAAGGCGAUCUGCUGGAACUCAACUGACGCUAAGGCGCGAAAGCGUGGGGAGCAAACAGGAUUAGAUACCCUGGUAGUCCACGCCCUAAACGAUGUACACUAGUUGUUGGGGUGCUAGUCAUCUCAGUAAUGCAGCUAACGCAUUAAGUGUACCGCCUGGGGAGUACGGUCGCAAGAUUAAAACUCAAAGGAAUAGACGGGGACCCGCACAAGCGGUGGAGCAUGUGGUUUAAUUCGAAGAUACGCGAAGAACCUUACCUGGGCUUGAUAUCCUAAGAACCUUUUAGAGAUAAGAGGGUGCUAGCUUGCUAGAACUUAGAGACAGGUGCUGCACGGCUGUCGUCAGCUCGUGUCGUGAGAUGUUGGGUUAAGUCCCGCAACGAGCGCAACCCACGUAUUUAGUUGCUAACGGUUCGGCCGAGCACUCUAAAUAGACUGCCUUCGUAAGGAGGAGGAAGGUGUGGACGACGUCAAGUCAUCAUGGCCCUUAUGCCCAGGGCGACACACGUGCUACAAUGGCAUAUACAAUGAGACGCAAUACCGCGAGGUGGAGCAAAUCUAUAAAAUAUGUCCCAGUUCGGAUUGUUCUCUGCAACUCGAGAGCAUGAAGCCGGAAUCGCUAGUAAUCGUAGAUCAGCCAUGCUACGGUGAAUACGUUCCCGGGUCUUGUACUCACCGCCCGUCACACCAUGGGAGUUGAUUUCACUCGAAGCCGGAAUACUAAUG
RNAcentral lists this ribosomal RNA (828 nucleotides) under Campylobacter sp. Its description in RNAcentral is "bacterial SSU rRNA". It matches the Rfam family "Bacterial small subunit ribosomal RNA", at positions 615 to 1440 of the family's 1533-position model. Lineage: Bacteria; Pseudomonadati; Campylobacterota; Epsilonproteobacteria; Campylobacterales; Campylobacteraceae. The record is from RNAcentral.